This 273-nucleotide ribosomal RNA is filed under the name Providencia rettgeri. RNAcentral describes it as "partial 16S ribosomal RNA". Lineage: Bacteria; Pseudomonadati; Pseudomonadota; Gammaproteobacteria; Enterobacterales; Morganellaceae. The record is from RNAcentral.
UAAUUGAAGAGUUUGAUCAUGGCUCAGAUUGAACGCUGGCGGCAGGCCUAACACAUGCAAGUCGAGCGGUAACAGGGGAAGCUUGCUUCYCGCUGACGAGCGGCGGACGGGUGAGUAAUGUAUGGGGAUCUGCCCGAUAGAGGGGGAUAACUACUGGAAACGGUAGCUAAUACCGCAUAAUCUCUCAGGAGCAAAGCAGGGGAACUUCGGUCCUUGCACUAUCGGAUGAACCCAUAUGGGAUUAGCUAGUAGGUGAGGUAAUGGCUCACCUAG